RNAcentral lists this ribosomal RNA (424 nucleotides) under Escherichia coli. Its description in RNAcentral is "bacterial SSU rRNA". It matches the Rfam family "Bacterial small subunit ribosomal RNA", at positions 1121 to 1533 of the family's 1533-position model. RNAcentral also lists the same sequence under 2 other names. Lineage: Bacteria; Pseudomonadati; Pseudomonadota; Gammaproteobacteria; Enterobacterales; Enterobacteriaceae. The record is from RNAcentral.
GCGGUCCGGCCGGGAACUCAAAGGAGACUGCCAGUGAUAAACUGGAGGAAGGUGGGGAUGACGUCAAGUCAUCAUGGCCCUUACGACCAGGGCUACACACGUGCUACAAUGGCGCAUACAAAGAGAAGCGACCUCGCGAGAGCAAGCGGACCUCAUAAAGUGCGUCGUAGUCCGGAUUGGAGUCUGCAACUCGACUCCAUGAAGUCGGAAUCGCUAGUAAUCGUGGAUCAGAAUGCCACGGUGAAUACGUUCCCGGGCCUUGUACACACCGCCCGUCACACCAUGGGAGUGGGUUGCAAAAGAAGUAGGUAGCUUAACCUUCGGGAGGGCGCUUACCACUUUGUGAUUCAUGACUGGGGUGAAGUCGUAACAAGGUAACCGUAGGGGAACCUGCGGUUGGAUCACCUCCUUACCUUAAAGAAGC